CCACAGGCCGUCACCCUGCAGCUCCAGUGUUUUUCCCAGAACAGCAGUAUGGGAAGAUGUCAUGCUCUGAGCUGAACACGAAAACGCGAGCCAGAAGGGCUGGGAAGAGGAGGAGCAUCCCUCAGAACCUGGAAUUGCGAGGUGGCAUUGCUGGAGAUUCUCGUGGGAAUAACUUAAAGAAUCAGGCCCUCUGUUUACAAACUUUCCCAGGGAGAAGAGCAGGAACACCUCAUCCCAUCCUCCCGUCACUCCCAGCCUCUCUCGCCAGGGUCUGCCCGGAUCUCCGCGCAGCUCCAGAGGUCUGGAUAUUACCAUCCAUCACAGCAGCUCCGCUUCCAGCGCUUGCUAAACGCCUGAAUUUCCCGCUGGCUCGAUGAACAGCUUUCAGCUUGUGGUACAUUACCCAGGCACCGGGUGAAUGGGGCUGAGCGCUCCUGUUUGGCUGCGAGCGCCGCGUUCACCUGAGCUCGCUGGCAGGAUGAAUAGCUCACCACCGUUCUGCUGCUAACCCCCUUUGUCAACUAGCACUGAGCCAUGGACCUUAUUACAAAGGCCGACAGCUCCCUGGAAACUUAAAUCCACUCUUUUUCCCUUCCCUACCAUAGGGAGCUAUAAAAGAAAAGGACUUGGUUGGUAGGCAUGUAAUAUAACAAAAACCCUUCUGUUGUGGCAGGAUCCAGACUCCCCAGUAACAAUGGGGAUUAUGCUCUCACACCAAAAAUGCAGUUGCUAGUUUUAACUGGAGUACCUUAUUACAGAUUCCUACAGAGCACAUUUAUGUCAGGGGCUUGGAUGUUUAACUUAAGUCAAGCCUGGUAGCAGAGAGAGCUCAGAAACCUCUGGUUUGGGUUGUGGUUUUGGUUUUUGGUUGGGUUUUUUUUUGGUUUUUUUUUUGAUAUGGAGGGCAAAGAUGCAGCUCGAUAUGCUGCUUUGGUGCUAGCUUCCCCCAAACCACUUCUCAGAGAGCUUUAAAUAUCCUGACACUGGCACCGGGCAGGGGCUGGCAGAAGAAUGGAUUUUUUCAUCUGAUGGCUCGCCAAGGUUGUUUUCAAGAAGAAGUAGAAGAAGAAGGGGAAAGAAAAAAACCCUAAAAAACCCCUUUUGCAUGCCAGUCAUUCAUUGCCUGCCAGUUCCCAUGGUUCUCCUACGGAUGGUAGCCACAGAACUAUUCAAAAUACAGUAAACACUGAGGAAAAGUGAAAAGAAACUCAUGAAGCAGAGAACAGAGAAGGAAAAGGAGCUGGGUAUGGGAUACAUGGUAGUAAGAGUCACUUAGGAAUUACUUUAGGGUGUACCAUGAAUGCUCCACUCAGUGCCAGCAGUAGCUGGACCAGCACAGUUUAGGGAGGACCUACCCCACUUCAG
RNAcentral lists this long non-coding RNA (1365 nucleotides) under Cyanistes caeruleus (blue tit). Its description in RNAcentral is "lncRNA (ENSCCEG00000013646.1)". The record is from RNAcentral. Lineage: Eukaryota; Metazoa; Chordata; Aves; Passeriformes; Paridae.